GACGAACGCUGGCGGCGUGCUUAACACAUGCAAGUCGAACGGAAAGGCCCUGCUUUUGUGGGGUGCUCGAGUGGCGAACGGGUGAGUAACACGUGAGUAACCUGCCCUUGACUUUGGGAUAACUUCAGGAAACUGGGGCUAAUACCGGAUAGGAGCUCCUGCUGCAUGGUGGGGGUUGGAAAGUUUCGGCGGUUGGGGAUGGACUCGCGGCUUAUCAGCUUGUUGGUGGGGUAGUGGCUUACCAAGGCUUUGACGGGUAGCCGGCCUGAGAGGGUGACCGGCCACAUUGGGACUGAGAUACGGGCCAGACUGCUACGGGAGGCAGCAGUGGGGAAUAUUGCAAAAUGGGCGGAAGCCGGAUGCAGCAACGCCGGGUGCGGGAUGACGGCCUUCGGGUUGUAAACCGCUUUCGCCUGUGACGAAGCGUGAGUGACGGUAAUGGGUAAAGAAGCACCGGCUAACUACGUG
RNAcentral lists this ribosomal RNA (468 nucleotides) under uncultured bacterium. RNAcentral describes it as "partial 16S ribosomal RNA". It matches the Rfam family "Bacterial small subunit ribosomal RNA", at positions 28 to 507 of the family's 1533-position model. The record is from RNAcentral.